Molecule: ribosomal RNA, 305 nt
Filed under: uncultured bacterium
Lineage: Bacteria
Description: bacterial SSU rRNA
Rfam family: Bacterial small subunit ribosomal RNA
Source: RNAcentral
GAUUCCUACGGGAGGCAGCAGUGAGGAAUAUUGGUCAGUGGGCGGGAGCCUGAACCAGCCAAGUCGCGUGAGGGAUGACGGCCCUAUGGGUUGUAAACCUCUUUUGCCGGGGAGCAAAGUGCCGCACGUGUGCGGUUUGGAGAGUACCCGGAGAAAAAGCAUAGGCUAACUCCGUGCCAGCAGCCGCGAUCAUACGGAGGAUGCGGGCGUUAUCCGGAUUUAUUGGGUUUAAAGGGUGCGUAGGCGGACGCUUAAGUCAGCGGUCAAAUUGAGGGGCUCAACCUCGUCGAGCCGUUGAAACUGGG